CGGGGUGUGGCGCAGCUUGGUAGCGCGCUUCGUUCGGGACUAAGAGGUCGCAGGUUCAAAUCCUGUCACCCCGACCA
This 77-nucleotide transfer RNA is filed under the name Agromyces sp. Its description in RNAcentral is "tRNA-Pro". It matches the Rfam family "tRNA". Rfam says of the family: Transfer RNA (tRNA) molecules are approximately 80 nucleotides in length. Their secondary structure includes four short double-helical elements and three loops (D, anti-codon, and T loops). The record is from RNAcentral. Lineage: Bacteria; Bacillati; Actinomycetota; Actinomycetes; Micrococcales; Microbacteriaceae.